AUUGAACGCUGGCGGCAUGCCUUACACAUGCAAGUCGAACGGCAGCGCGGACUUCGGUCUGGCGGCGAGUGGCGAACGGGUGAGUAAUACAUCGGAACGUACCCUGUUGUGGGGGAUAACUAGUCGAAAGAUUAGCUAAUACCGCAUACGACCUGAGGGUGAAAGUGGGGGACCGCAAGGCCUCACGCAGCAGGAGCGGCCGAUGCCUGAUUAGCUAGUUGGUGGGGUAAAGGCCCACCAAGGCGACGAUCAGUAGCUAGUCUGAGAGGACGAUCAGCCACACUGGGACUGAGACACGGCCCAGACUCCUACGGGAGGCAGCAGUGGGGAAUUUUGGACAAUGGGGGCAACCCUGAUCCAGCAAUGCCGCGUGUGUGAAGAAGGCCUUCGGGUUGUAAAGCACUUUUGUCCGGAAAGAAAUCGCGCUGGUUAAUACCUGGCGUGGAUGACGGUACCGGAAGAAUAAGCACCGGCUAACUACGUG
This 484-nucleotide ribosomal RNA is filed under the name uncultured bacterium. RNAcentral describes it as "partial 16S ribosomal RNA". It matches the Rfam family "Bacterial small subunit ribosomal RNA", at positions 30 to 507 of the family's 1533-position model. The record is from RNAcentral.